RNAcentral lists this ribosomal RNA (460 nucleotides) under uncultured bacterium. RNAcentral's name for it is "partial 16S ribosomal RNA". It matches the Rfam family "Bacterial small subunit ribosomal RNA", at positions 338 to 795 of the family's 1533-position model. The record is from RNAcentral.
CCUACGGGUGGCAGCAGUGAGGAAUAUUGGUCAAUGGACGAGAGUCUGAACCAGCCAAGUAGCGUGAAGGAUGACUGCCCUAUGGGUUGUAAACUUCUUUUAUAUGGGAAUAAAAUGUUCCACGUGUGGGAUUUUGUAUGUACCAUAUGAAUAAGGAUCGGCUAACUCCGUGCCAGCAGCCGCGGUAAUACGGAGGAUCCGAGCGUUAUCCGGAUUUAUUGGGUUUAAAGGGAGCGUAGGUGGAUUGUUAAGUCAGUUGUGAAAGUUUGCGGCUCAACCGUACAAUUGCAGUUGAAACUGGCAGUCUUGAGUACAGUAGAGGUGAGCGGAAUUCGUGGUGUAGCGGUGAAAUGCUUAGAUAUCACGAAGAACUCCGAUUGCGAAGGCAGUUCACUGGACUGAAACUGACACUGAGGCUCGAAAGUGUGGGUAUCAAACAGGAUUAGAUACCCCUGUAGUC